This is a long non-coding RNA of Cyprinus carpio (common carp), 2358 nucleotides long. Lineage: Eukaryota; Metazoa; Chordata; Actinopteri; Cypriniformes; Cyprinidae. The record is from Ensembl.
AUGUGCCUGAAAGAAGAAGAGAAUUUGAAAGGUCUCCAUCUGGGACGUCUGAGAAUGAAGAUCGAAUUACUGAUCAGGAGGAACAGGAUUCAGAGGCUGUUGAGUCUGAAGCCACAGACACUAUGAUCGAGGAACCUCAGACAGAGCAGAAGAGGAUCACUCCAGUCAGGUGUGCAGUGGCAGAUGAAUCAAUAGAUUGCUCAAAUUAAAAGCGUUUGUCUUGACUGUUUUUAACAAUGCCUUUGCUCUGUGGUGUCAUCUGUACAGCUGUUCUGCUGAUGGUUCCUCAGUUUAUGCUCAGGGCAGUAUUGCCCCAGAGAGACACGGUCAGUUUGAUGAGCAAACACCCACCAAGCUGGAAGGGGCAUCUCUAGUCAUGAUAAACCUUCAACAGACCUCAGAGCCUAAUGAAGGUGGGGUUCAUGUUAUUCAGAUUGAGAAUAUUGCUUUAAAUGUCACUAGUGUUGCUAACAAUGAUUGGGACAUGACAUCUUCAUGGGGGAAGUCGUGGCCUAACGGUUAGAGUCUUGGACUUGGAAGAUUGUGAGUUUGAGUCUCGGGCCGGCAGGAAUUGUAGGUGGGGGGAGUGAAUGUACAGCGCUCUCUCCACCUUCGAUACCACAACUGAGGUGCCCUUGAGCAAGGCACAGAACCCCCAACUUCUCCCCGGGCGCCGCAGCAUAAAUGGCUGCCCACUGCUCCGGGUGUGUGUUCACGGUGUGUGUGUUCACUGCUGUGUGUGUGCACUUUGGAUGGGUUAAAAGCAGAGCACGAAUUCCGAGUAUGGGUCAGCAUACUUGGUUGUAUGUCACGUCACUUUCACUUUCACUUCAUUUAGAUCCUGCUGAGAAGCCUGAAUAUAAGAGUCCUGUUAAAGCCAAGCAUAGUGAUUUGGAUCAUGACAAAGAGAAGAUCUCCAGAGAAGAUAAGCUUCUGUCAUCUGAAGGAACUUUACAGGAACAUAAACAGGAUGAGGAUCUCCUGUCCCCUUUUUCUGAUCCUCCAAACGAACCUGCAAGCAACAUGUCUGAUAUGGACAUGAUGCAGUUUAGUGAGUCUGCAGCUGAAGACGUUCAAAUACCAGACGAGCAGGAUUCAGAAAAUCAGGACGGCACAGAGGAGCCAUCAGAAGCUUCUGAGGAAUGCAGUGCCUCUCUCAAUGAAAAUGCAAAAUCUGAAAUUUCAGAUUCAGCUGGAGUGGAUACAGAUAAACAUUCUGAGGAGGAGCCCACAUUUAUUUUAACUCUAUAUGAGAUUCCAGUCUCUGAGUCUGCCUUUGGGCAGCAGGACACUCCCCCUUAUGAACUGCAGCCAGCACAAGUCCAGACACCCUUGCUGUUCUCAAACAGUUCACAUUCUCAUUAUUUCAAAUUAGAGCCUUCCAGUGCAUCUCCGAACAUGGCGUCUGAAGAGACCAGUAAUCUAUAUAAAAGUAGUUCUCGCAAGGUGGUGGAUGACUCCCUGGAUCCUCUUUCAAAGGAAGCAGCAGAUGAUGCUAGUACACAAUUGAUAUCCUCACUGGAAAGCAGUUGUGAUGAUGUGAACUCUUUAAUUAGUCCACCCGGGAUGUUCUCUUGUAAUUCUGCCACGCCAACACAUGUGCUGAAAUUGGAUGAGAUCCUGACAGAAUCCCCAGAAACUAAAGCACCUUCUCAGAGGAGAUGUAGAUGUCAGAAUCUACCAACAUCUCAAACCACAGCACAAACUGAGAUUGAGACCAACCAGACACUAUCUGUGCAGGAAACAGUUGGUCCUGAAAGCCACUCAAGCCUUGAAGACAGUGAGAGGGAAGCCCAUCCUGGGCCUGAUGGCAUGAUAUCAACAGCCAUUGUUCCAGGGUCUGAAGAUAUGAGAGAUGAGAGUCACCUGAAGUGGGAAUGUCCUCUCAGAACAGAACUCCAGAGGAAUGAGGACUCUGUUGUUGACCCUCCAGUGAGUCAGAGGCUGUUCUCUGUUGAAACAGACCAGUUUUUUUCUGUAUAAAUCAGUCAUUCACGUAAGUGUUUCUUCACAGGUACACAGUACAUUCAUAAAGGAGUCUGAGGGGAACAACGAAGCUGGUUAUGAGGGUAUUUCACACAUAGUGUUGGCUGAUGCCUUCGUACUCUCAUCAGAAGAAAUGAAGGAUGUUUUUAAUAAGGAAAAAGAAAGCCUUUAUGAUAGUGAGCUCCAAAUACCUGAGGGCUUAUCUGUAUGUCUGACAGAGAGUGAGAAAUCUGUUCAUUCAGUUAUUGACCAAGUAAGUGUUUUUGUUUAUAUCCAAACAAAACAUUAGUCCUCAAUAUGUUAUGAAAUUGCCUGACGAGUGGUCCAUUUCCCAGAAAUAAAGCUCAAUAAGUAUUUAUCUACUUUUUUAAU